CCUACGGGAGGCAGCAGUGGGGAAUAUUGGACAAUGGGCGAAAGCCUGAUCCAGCCAUGCCGCGUGUGUGAAGAAGGCCUUCGGGUUGUAAAGCACUUUCAGUGGGGAAGAAAGCCUUGGGGCUAAUACCCUCGAGGAAGGACAUCACCCACAGAAGAAGCCCCGGCUAACUCCGUGCCAGCAGCCGCGGUAAUACGGAGGGUGCGAGCGUUAAUCGGAAUUACUGGGCGUAAAGCGCGCGUAGGCGGUCUGAUAAGCCGGUUGUGAAAGCCCCGGGCUCAACCUGGGAACGGCAUCCGGAACUGUCAGGCUAGAGUGCAGAAGAGGAAGGUAGAAUUCCCGGUGUAGCAGUGAAAUGCGUAGAGAUCGGGAGGAAUACCAGUGGCGAAGGCGGCCUUCUGGACUGACACUGACGCUGAGGUGCGAAAGCGUGGGUAGCAAACAGGAUUAGAUACCCCAGUAGUC
RNAcentral lists this ribosomal RNA (465 nucleotides) under Vreelandella stevensii. Its description in RNAcentral is "partial 16S ribosomal RNA". It matches the Rfam family "Bacterial small subunit ribosomal RNA", at positions 338 to 795 of the family's 1533-position model. The record is from RNAcentral. Lineage: Bacteria; Pseudomonadati; Pseudomonadota; Gammaproteobacteria; Oceanospirillales; Halomonadaceae.